This 104-nucleotide small nuclear RNA is filed under the name Prolemur simus (greater bamboo lemur). Lineage: Eukaryota; Metazoa; Chordata; Mammalia; Primates; Lemuridae. The record is from RNAcentral.
GUGCUCACUUUGGCAGCACAUAUACUAAAAUUGGAACGAUACAGAGAAGAUUAGCAUGGCCCCUGCAAAUUUAUUUUUUUAAUUUAUAAAAAGAUAAAAUUUCU